UGUUAAAAAUCUCAUCCAUUCCUAUUGUUAAAAAUUAACGUAAUUAUGGAAUAACCAGACAUUUACACACGGUGUGCCAAGUGUACCUCAUGCGGAAGUUUAGAGACCCAUUUUUAAUAGUAGAAAUGGAUGAAAAUUUUAAUA
Non-coding RNA from Gossypium hirsutum (cotton), 144 nucleotides. NCBI's taxonomy places the organism in Eukaryota, Viridiplantae, Streptophyta, Magnoliopsida, Malvales, Malvaceae. The record is from Rfam.